This 1355-nucleotide ribosomal RNA is filed under the name metagenome. Its description in RNAcentral is "bacterial LSU rRNA". It matches the Rfam family "Bacterial large subunit ribosomal RNA", at positions 1550 to 2925 of the family's 2925-position model. The record is from RNAcentral.
UCAAUCCGAAGGCGUGAUGCGGACCGAAAUCUAGUAGGGAAGUACGUGAGCCAUGCGUCAAGAAAAGCCGCUAUUGUUCUUAUUGUACCCGUACCGUAAACCGACACAGGUGGAUGAGGAGAGAAUCCUAAGGCCGACGGAAGAAGCAUUGUUAAGGAACUCGGCAAAAUGACCCCGUAACUUCGGGAGAAGGGGUGCCACAGAAAUGUGGCCGCAGAGAAUAGGCUCAAGCAACUGUUUAGCAAAAACACAGGUCUAUGCAAAACCGAAAGGUGAGGUAUAUGGGCUGACGCCUGCCCGGUGCUGGAAGGUUAAGAGGAGAGGUUAGCGCAAGCGAAGCUUUGAAUUGAAGCCCCAGUAAACGGCGGCCGUAACGAUAACGGUCCUAAGGUAGCGAAAUUCCUUGUCGGGUAAGUUCCGACCCGCACGAAAGGCGUAAUGAUUUGAGCGCUGUCUCGACAAUGCAUCCGGUGAAAUUGAAGUACCAGUGAAGAUGCUGGUUACCUGCGCCAGGACGGAAAGACCCCAUGGAGCUUUACUCCAGCUUGAUACUGGGAUUCGGUAUUGCAUGUACAGGAUAGGUGGGAGGCUGAGAAUCGGUAACGCCAGUUGCCGAGGAGCCAUUGUUGGGAUACCACCCUUGCAGUACUGGGUUUCUAACCAGCAGCCGUGACCCGGCUGGGGGACAAUGUCAGGUGGGGAGUUUGACUGGGGCGGUCGCCUCCGAAAGGGUAUCGGAGGCGCUCAAAGGUUCCCUCAGAAUGGUUGGAAACCAUUCGAAGAGUGCAAAGGCAGAAGGGAGCUUGGCUGCGACACCGACGGGUGGAGCAGGUACGAAAGUAGGACUUAGUGAUCCGGUGGUAUUAAGUGGGAAUGCCAUCGCUCAACGGAUAAAAGCUACCCUGGGGAUAACAGGCUUAUCACUCCCAAGAGUUCACAUCGACGGAGUGGUUUGGCACCUCGAUGUCGGCUCAUCGCAUCCUGGGGCUGUAGUAGGUCCAAGGGUUGGGCUGUUCGCCCAUUAAAGCGGUACGCGAGCUGGGUUCAGAACGUCGUGAGACAGUUCGGUCCCUAUCCGGCGUGGGCGUAGGAUAUCUGAGAGGAGCUGUCCUUAGUACGAGAGGACCGGGAUGGACGGACCGCUGGUGUACCUGUUGCAGUGCCAGCUGCAUGGCAGGGUAGCCAAGUCCGGAAGGGAUAAACGCUGAAGGCAUCUAAGCGUGAAGCCCCCCUCAAGAUGAGAUAUCCCAUUCGAAAGAAGUAAGACCCCUUGAAGACGACGAGGUAGAUAGGGCAGAGGUGGAAGUGCAGUAAUGUAUGGAGCUGACUGUUACUAAUCGGUCGAGGGUUUGAUC